This 314-nucleotide ribosomal RNA is filed under the name uncultured bacterium. RNAcentral's name for it is "bacterial SSU rRNA". It matches the Rfam family "Bacterial small subunit ribosomal RNA", at positions 192 to 507 of the family's 1533-position model. The record is from RNAcentral.
AAGUUUAUAUUAAACAUUUAUGGCUAUUAGAUGGGUAUGCGUCCUAUUAGUUAGUUGGUAAGGUAACGGCUUACCAAGGCAGCGAUAGGUAGGGGUCCUGAGAGGGAGAUCCCCACACUGGUACUGAGACACGGACCAGACUCCUACGGGAGGCAGCAGUGAGGAAUAUUGGACAAUGGGCGAGAGCCUGAUCCAGCCAUGCCGCGUGCAGGAAGACUGCCCUAUGGGUUGUAAACUGCUUUUACAGAGGAAGAACCACCCCCACGUGUGGGGGUUUGACGGUACUCUGCGAAUAAGGAUCGGCUAACUCCGUG